UGGGGAAUAUUGGACAAUGGGGGGAACCCUGAUCCAGCCAUGCCGCGUGUGUGAAGAAGGCCUUAUGGUUGUAAAGCACUUUAAGCGAGGAGGAGGCUCUUUUGGUUAAUACCCAAGAUGAGUGGACGUUACUCGCAGAAUAAGCACCGGCUAACUCUGUGCCAGCAGCCGCGGUAAUACAGAGGGUGCGAGCGUUAAUCGGAAUUACUGGGCGUAAAGCGCGCGUAGGUGGUUCGUUAAGUUGAAUGUGAAAGCCCCGGGCUCAACCUGGGAACUGCAUCCAAAACUGGCGAGCUAGAGUAGGGCAGAGGGUGGUGGAAUUUCCUGUGUAGCGGUGAAAUGCGUAGAUAUAGGAAGGAACACCAGUGGCGAAGGCGACCACCUGGGCUCAUACUGACACUGAGGUGCGAAAGCGUGGGGAGCAAACAGG
Molecule: ribosomal RNA, 430 nt
Filed under: Pseudomonadota bacterium
Lineage: Bacteria; Pseudomonadati; Pseudomonadota
Description: Proteobacteria bacterium partial 16S ribosomal RNA
Rfam family: Bacterial small subunit ribosomal RNA
Source: RNAcentral